This is a long non-coding RNA of Amphiprion ocellaris (clown anemonefish), 829 nucleotides long. RefSeq lists it as uncharacterized. NCBI's taxonomy places the organism in Eukaryota, Metazoa, Chordata, Actinopteri, Pomacentridae. The record is from RefSeq and is a predicted model, not a curated record. The transcript is spliced from 7 exons.
UAAUACUUUAGUUGUAAUUCGUCAUCCGGACCAGCAGGGGGCAGCAAUGAGCCUCAGCGACGCCGCGACGGUUAUAAAAGCAGAAGCAGCGGUCUAAUCUGGUCCCUGUUAACCAUCGGCAGGAGGAAAGAUGAUGGUGCUGCUUCUCACGAUUCCAUCAGCCACUACUGAAAAUGACCUCUGGGGACACCGUACAGCCACGGCUCAGCGGUUAUAAAAUGGAAGAUUCGGUUGAUUCCAUGACGACGAGGAACCGAUAAGCAACUGUGAACCUGGGAUGGGCUGAAUUGAUGCUGUCCAGGUGUGGAGAUGAAAGCUCUCAAAGCUGGCUGCCGGUGAGCAGACGUUCUAGGGACUGACGGAGGUGUUUCCAUCUGGAAAAAGCCCACAGAUGACCUCCAAGAUGAUCUUACAGGUCUGUGCUGUCCAGUUAAUGUCCAGUGGAAGGAACUGAGGCGAUGACGUAUGUUGCCAGGGGUGCUGCCUGGUUAACGUCCAGUGGAAGGAACCGAAGCAGUGCCAUACGUUGCCAGGUCUGUGCGUCUACUUGGCGUCCAGUGGAAGGAAGUUUCCUUUGUACCUAAAGGUCGACUGGAUGAAGAGAGCUUCUGUCCACUGAGACGGACGAUGCUUUUGGGAGUUUUUUUUCCUUUUUUUCUUUCUCAAGAGAUGAAAACCCAACAGACCAGCGGCAGAGGAUUGAUUUAUUUAUUUAUUUUUUGUCCACAGUGGAAAAAAUGCUUACUCAUGAUAUCGUUUGUAUCUGAAGAUGUAACUGAAGUUAAGGUUGACUGUACAAAGAAAUAAAAGGGGGAAAACUGCAAAUUCA